Molecule: ribosomal RNA, 497 nt
Filed under: uncultured bacterium
Lineage: Bacteria
Description: partial 16S ribosomal RNA
Rfam family: Bacterial small subunit ribosomal RNA
Source: RNAcentral
GAUGAACGCUGGCGGCGUGCCUAAUACAUGCAAGUCGAGCGAACAGACGAGGAGCUUGCUCCUCUGACGUUAGCGGCGGACGGGUGAGUAACACGUGGAUAACCUACCUAUAAGACUGGGAUAACUUCGGGAAACCGGAGCUAAUACCGGAUAAUAUAUUGAACCGCAUGGUUCAAUAGUGAAAGACGGUUUUGCUGUCACUUAUCGAUGGAUCCGCGCCGCAUUAGCUAGUUGGUAAGGUAACGGCUUACCAAGGCAACGAUGCGUAGCCGACCUGAGAGGGUGAUCGGCCACACUGGAGCUGAGACACGGUCCAGACUCCUACGGGAGGCAGCAGUAGGGAAUCUUCCGCAGUGGUCGAAAGCCUGACGGAGCAACGCCGCGUGAGUGAUGAAGGUCUUCGGAUCGUAAAACUCUGUUAUUAGGGAAGAACAAAUGUGUAAGUAACUAUGCACGUCUUGACGGUACCUAAUCAGAAAGCCACGGCUAACUACGUG